UGGAAACUNUCUGACUUGAGUGCAGAAGGGGAGAGUGGAAUUCCAUGUGUAGCGGUGAAAUGCGUAGAUAUAUGGAGGAACACCAGUGGCGAAAGCGGCUCUCUGGUCUGUCACUGACGCUGAGGCUCGAAAGCGUGGGUAGCGAACAGGAUUAGAUACCCUGGUAGUNCACGCCGUAAACGAUGAGUGCUAGGUGUUAGGCCCUUUCCGGGGCUUAGUGCCGGAGCUAACGCAAUAAGCACUCCGCCUGGGGAGUACGACCGCAAGGUUGAAACUCAAAGGAAUUGACGGGGGCCCGCACAAGCGGUGGAGCAUGUGGUUUAAUUCGAAGCAACGCGAAGAACCUUACCAGGUCUUGACAUCCCGAUGCUAUUCUUAGAGAUAGGAAGUUACUUCGGUACAUCGGAGACAGGUGGUGCAUGGUUGUCGUCAGCUCGUGUCGUGAGAUGUUGGGUUAAGUCCCGCAACGAGCGCAACCCUUAUUGUUAGUUGCCAUCAUUAAGUUGGGCACUCUAGCGAGACUGCCGGUAAUAAACCGGAGGAAGGUGGGGAUGACGUCAAAUCAUCAUGCCCCUUAUGACCUGGGCUACACACGUGCUACAAUGGUCGGUACAACGAGUUGCGAGCCGGUGACGGCAAGCUAAUCUCUGAAAGCCGAUCUCAGUUCGGAUUGGAGGCUGCAACUCGCCUCCAUGAAGUCGGAAUCGCUAGUAAUCGCGGAUCAGCACGCCGCGGUGAAUACGUUCCCGGGCCUUGUACACACCGCCCGUCACACCACGAGAGUUUGUAACACCCGAAGUCGGUGAGGUAACCUUUUAGGGNCC
RNAcentral lists this ribosomal RNA (824 nucleotides) under uncultured bacterium. RNAcentral's name for it is "bacterial SSU rRNA". It matches the Rfam family "Bacterial small subunit ribosomal RNA", at positions 627 to 1450 of the family's 1533-position model. The record is from RNAcentral.